GGAUGAACGCUGGCGGCGUGCCUAAUACAUGCAAGUCGAGCGAACAGACAAGGAGCUUGCUCCUUUGACGUUAGCGGCGGACGGGUGAGUAACACGUGGGUAACCUACCUAUAAGACUGGGAUAACUUCGGGAAACCGGAGCUAAUACCGGAUAAUAUUUCGAACCGCAUGGUUCGAUAGUGAAAGAUGGUUUUGCUAUCACUUAUAGAUGGACCCGCGCCGUAUUAGCUAGUUGGUAAGGUAACGGCUUACCAAGGCGACGAUACGUAGCCGACCUGAGAGGGUGAUCGGCCACACUGGAACUGAGACACGGUCCAGACUCCUACGGGAGGCAGCAGUAGGGAAUCUUCCGCAAUGGGCGAAAGCCUGACGGAGCAACGCCGCGUGAGUGAUGAAGGUCUUCGGAUCGUAAAACUCUGUUAUUAGGGAAGAACAUACGUGUAAGUAACUAUGCACGUCUUGACGGUACCUAAUCAGAAAGCCACGGCUAACCACGUGCCAGCAGCCGCGGUAAUACGUAGGUGGCAAGCGUUAUCCGGAAUUAUUGGGCGUAAAGCGCGCGUAGGCGGUUUUUUAAGUCUGAUGUGAAAGCCCACGGCUCAACCGUGGAGGGUCAUUGGAAACUGGAAAACUUGAGUGCAGAAGAGGAAGUGGAAUUCCAUGUGUAGCGGUGAAAUGCGCAGAGAUAUGGAGGAACACCAGUGGCGAAGGCGACUUUCUGGUCUGUAACUGACGCUGAUGUGCGAAAGCGUGGGGAUCAAACAGGAUUAGAUACCCUGGUAGUCCACGCCGUAAACGAUGAGUGCUAAGUGUUAGGGGGUUUCCGCCCCUUAGUGCUGCAGCUAACGCAUUAAGCACUCCGCCUGGGGAGUACGACCGCAAGGUUGAAACUCAAAGGAAUUGACGGGGACCCGCACAAGCGGUGGAGCAUGUGGUUUAAUUCGAAGCAACGCGAAGAACCUUACCAAAUCUUGACAUCCUUUGACAACUCUAGAGAUAGAGCCUUCCCCUUCGGGGGACAAAGUGACAGGUGGUGCAUGGUUGUCGUCAGCUCGUGUCGUGAGAUGUUGGGUUAAGUCCCGCAACGAGCGCAACCCUUAAGCUUAGUUGCCAUCAUUAAGUUGGGCACUCUAAGUUGACUGCCGGUGACAAACCGGAGGAAGGUGGGGAUGACGUCAAAUCAUCAUGCCCCUUAUGAUUUGGGCUACACACGUGCUACAAUGGACAAUACAAAGGGCAGCGAAACCGCGAGGUCAAACAAAUCCCAUAAAGUUGUUCUCAGUUCGGAUUGUAGUCUGCAACUCGACUACAUGAAGCUGGAAUCGCUAGUAAUCGUAGAUCAGCAUGCUACGGUGAAUACGUUCCCGGGUCUUG
Molecule: ribosomal RNA, 1374 nt
Filed under: uncultured Staphylococcus sp.
Lineage: Bacteria; Bacillati; Bacillota; Bacilli; Caryophanales; Staphylococcaceae
Description: bacterial SSU rRNA
Rfam family: Bacterial small subunit ribosomal RNA
Source: RNAcentral